This 484-nucleotide ribosomal RNA is filed under the name uncultured bacterium. Its description in RNAcentral is "partial 16S ribosomal RNA". It matches the Rfam family "Bacterial small subunit ribosomal RNA", at positions 29 to 507 of the family's 1533-position model. The record is from RNAcentral.
AUUGAACGCUGGCGGCAUGCUUUACACGUGCAAGUCGAACGGCAGCGCGGGCUUCGGCCUGGCGGCGAGUGGCGAACGGGUGAGUAAUACAUCGGAACGUGCCCAGUAGUGGGGGAUAGCUCGGCGAAAGCCGGAUUAAUACCGCAUACGACCUGAGGGUGAAAGCGGGGGAUCCUCGGACCUCGCGCUAUUGGAGCGGCCGAUGGCAGAUUAGCUAGUUGGUGGGGUAAAGGCCUACCAAGGCGACGAUCUGUAGCUGGUCUGAGAGGACGACCAGCCACACUGGGACUGAGACACGGCCCAGACUCCUACGGGAGGCAGCAGUGGGGAAUUUUGGACAAUGGGCGAAAGCCUGAUCCAGCAAUGCCGCGUGUGUGAUGAAGGCCUUCGGGUUGUAAAGCACUUUUGGCGGGAACGAAAAGGACUGUGCCAAUACCACGGUUCGAUGACGGUACCCGCAGAAUAAGCACCGGCUAACUACGUG